Molecule: long non-coding RNA, 1518 nt
Organism: Tympanuchus pallidicinctus (lesser prairie-chicken)
Lineage: Eukaryota; Metazoa; Chordata; Aves; Galliformes; Phasianidae
Exons: 2
Source: RefSeq, a predicted model, not a curated record
CUUUAUGGCAACUGAACGACAUCCUACAAAGACAUAAUUUUUCAACAAACUAUGUUAAGGAUUUUGUCCACCUCUCUGCUUGGAAUUUUCAGUUCAGAUCAACGCGGAGGCAUCCCUGUCAAGAAGCAAGGCUCACUGGGUUAUGCAAUGUCCUGGCACGUUAAGAAGUCAUUACCUCCUCCUACACACAGUUCACAAGACACAAUGCAACAGGUGGAUGAAAGACAUGUUAUGUGGGGGUGUUUUGGAAAAAUGAGGCAACAACAAACCAAAGAGGACAGUGGAAAAGCAGCAGUCAUUGCGCCACCUGCUUUUAUUGGAGAGUUGAUUUUUCUGGCAGAUGUUUGGGAUUUGCUUGGAUUUGCAAACCACAUCUACAAGCAAGCAAAAAACAUAUAUACAUGCAUUGAGAUAAAAAAAAAAAGGGUAAGCAAUUGAACCUCAGCAAGCAAGGAACAGUAUCCCAUAAUGGCACAUUUGGGUAUGUGGGUAGAUCAUGACGUGUAGCCUAUACAGGCAUUCUGUAUUACAGUAUAGCUAGUUGCACACAAUUCUGUGCACUCCCUUCUGCUGCAAGCACCUAAGACAAAGGCUACAGGAACUCGUGUUUACAGAGCACAACACAGAAACCCACAAUCCCAGGCAGUCCCUGUAUGAUACACAGACAUUACAGAUACCUCCUGCCAGGCUGGGUUUAUGUUUUUCUUUUAAAAUCAGACUUCUCACAACUCCGCAGAUAGGCCAAACAUGUCAGCCGAGAGCACGGCUGCAGAGGUGCUGGGAACCCACACAGUUUGAAGUUGAGGAGAAUCGCUGUGCUCAGAACUCACAGAACCAUUUCGUUUCCACGUAUGCAGCUCCACGCCGGGCUGCGUGUCUGCACAUGGCUAAUUGGUUUUUAAAUCCUGAGUACUGGCAACAAACAGACAUGUGGAAUACGUUUAUGCAGUGUGCGUUGCCAUAUCACCCGGGGCAGCAUCACAUGGGAUUUGACACUGUGGGCGGGUUUGGGGUUUGGCAAUCCUUGGAUGAGAAACCCACAAGAUCCUGCGAGAGAUAAGUUUGGGUAUUUGUGCUCUCAGUGCUGCUACACAGAAACUCAGACGCCACCAUAAGCCCUGUAGCACUCUUCCAAAAAUAAUGGCCAUCUCAUCCAGUGAGCACGAAGAACGGCUGGCUGUUCCUGUCCCUGUGCCCCAGUGAGGUCAUUUCCUCACAAGGAGCCGUGUAAUGCCACAGCUCAGCAUCUGGGGGCUCGUCAGUGACAGCUUGGUGGGGAAGAGUGUGAAACGGUGGGUAGGGAAGGUGGGAGUUUGUGUACAGAAACUGUGAGUUCCCUGUGCCUUGUUGCCUGGAGGGGAGGACAGGCUGAGCAGUGCCAGUCAGCAUCAGCUGGAGGACAAAAAGAAGGCAGAACAAAACAGAACCUGUGUCCUGAGGUCUCUGAAAGAGCAACGUGAGAGGAUGAGGAGACAAAGGCUGGAAGGAAUCACAGCCACAAUAUGCAGAGAUUAUUAG